This 74-nucleotide transfer RNA is filed under the name Betaproteobacteria bacterium. Its description in RNAcentral is "tRNA-Cys". Lineage: Bacteria; Pseudomonadati; Pseudomonadota; Betaproteobacteria. RNAcentral also lists the same sequence under 2 other names. The record is from RNAcentral.
UUCCGGCGGGGCGGCCGUUGCCGGACGGGCGUUACACGCGCCCGACGCGCAGGUGCAGCGGCCAGCGCAGGAGU